ACAGCAGUCGCCGCGGGAACACGUAGGGUGCGAGCGUUAAUCGGAAUUACUGGGCGUAAAGCGUGCGCAGGCGGUUGUGUAAGACAGGUGUGAAAUCCCCGGGCUUAACCUGGGAACUGCGCUUGUGACUGCACAGCUAGAGUAUGGCAGAGGGGGGUGGAAUUCCACGUGUAGCAGUGAAAUGCGUAGAGAUGUGGAGGAACACCGAUGGCGAAGGCAGCCCCCUGGGCCAAUACUGACGCUCAUGCACGAAAGCGUGGGGAGCAAACAGGAUUAGAUACCCCCGUAGUCCCUGUCUCUUAUAC
This 305-nucleotide ribosomal RNA is filed under the name uncultured bacterium. RNAcentral's name for it is "partial 16S ribosomal RNA". It matches the Rfam family "Bacterial small subunit ribosomal RNA", at positions 508 to 807 of the family's 1533-position model. The record is from RNAcentral.